This 397-nucleotide small RNA is filed under the name Arabidopsis thaliana (thale cress). RNAcentral's name for it is "ATSL022950". Lineage: Eukaryota; Viridiplantae; Streptophyta; Magnoliopsida; Brassicales; Brassicaceae. The record is from RNAcentral.
AACAUAUAAUGAUGAUUUUGCAUUAAUUGUGACAAGAAUCACGUCUAAACUUUUUGGGCCAUUAAAUGUUGACGUCAUUUAGUUUUUAAAGGAAAAAAUCUCCCUUCUAACUGUACAGCCGCACUCCUCAAAGUGAAACAAAAAUAUCUCCAACUAAACCGGAACAGUGUACCUAACUAAACCUGACUAACUAAACCGUACAUUCAAUAGUUUCUCAACUGUAGCAGCAAAGGUAAAAUGGUCAAAUUUUAGCUGAAAAGACAAAACGUAAAAACCACAUUUGAUUUUGCCAACCCCUGAAAAUAAAACAUGGUCAAAGGGUGUGACAUGCAAAUUACCCUAAUUUUUAAUGCAGACUUUAUCAUUUACACAGUUGACUUGUAUAUAUUUUUGGAAA